Molecule: ribosomal RNA, 515 nt
Filed under: uncultured bacterium
Lineage: Bacteria
Description: partial 16S ribosomal RNA
Rfam family: Bacterial small subunit ribosomal RNA
Source: RNAcentral
GAUGAACGCUGGCGGCGUGCCUAAUACAUGCAAGUCGAGCGAAUGGAUUAAGAGCUUGCUCUUAUGAAGUUAGCGGCGGACGGGUGAGUAACACGUGGGUAACCUGCCCAUAAGACUGGGAUAACUCCGGGAAACCGGGGCCAAUACCGGAUAACAUUUUGAACCGCAUGGUUCGAAAUUGAAAGGCGGCUUCGGCUGUCACUUAUGGAUGGACCCGCGUCGCAUUAGGUAGUUGGUGGGGUAACGGCACACCAAGGCAACGAUGCGUAGCCGACCUGAGAGGGUGAGCGGCCACACUGGGACUGAGACACGGCCCAGACUCCUACGGGAGGCAGCAGUAGGGAAUCUUCCGCAAUGGACGAAAGUCUGACGGAGCAACGCCGCGUGAGUGAUGAAGGCUUUCGGGUCGUAAAACUCUGUUGUUAGGGAAGAACAAGUGCUAGUUGAAUAAGCUGGCACCUUGACGGUACCUAACCAGAAAGCCACGGCUAACUACGUGCCAGCCGCCGCAGUAA